RNAcentral lists this ribosomal RNA (442 nucleotides) under uncultured bacterium. RNAcentral describes it as "partial 16S ribosomal RNA". It matches the Rfam family "Bacterial small subunit ribosomal RNA", at positions 338 to 795 of the family's 1533-position model. The record is from RNAcentral.
CCUACGGGCGGCAGCAGUAGGGAAUCUUUCACAAUGGGCGAAAGCCUGAUGGAGCAACGCCGCGUGCAGGAUGAAGGCCUUCGGGUUGUAAACUGCUUUUAUAAGCGAGAAAUAUGAUGGUAACUUAUGAAUAAGGAUCGGCUAACUACGUGCCAGCAGCCGCGGUCAUACGUAGGAUCCGAGCAUUAUCCGGAGUGACUGGGUGUAAAGAGUUGCGUAGGUGGCAUAAUAAGUAGCUAGUGAAAUCUGGUGGCUCAACCAUUCAGACUAUUAGCUAAACUGUUAAGCUCGAGACCGUUAGGGGUAACGGGAAUUUCUAGUGUAGGAGUGAAAUCCGUAGAUAUUAGAAGGAACACCAAUAGCGUAGGCAGGUUGCUGGGACGGUUCUGACACUAAGGCACGAAAGCGUAGGGAGCAAACGGGAUUAGAUACCCCAGUAGUC